UUUAACACUUUGCAAAUAUGUAACGUGCCAGAGCUCACCACUUUAGAUCUGUUAGGUAUAUGGAAUGAUGGUUCCUAAAAGCAACGUUGGCAUGUUGCCUAUCCAUACCACCAGCUCAUGAAACAGACAACAAUAUAGAUUACAAAUAGAAAUUAUUUAUAACAAAAAAAAAAACUGAAUGUACACCGGCAAUACUAGACUUCAUGAAAAAUCACAAAGCGGAACAGUUCACAUCAACUUUGCAUCAGGUUGCUCAGGAGCGUCAAACUUGGGGUAUUUUUUUUUUUUUUUCGAUAUCCAAAA
Long non-coding RNA from Bufo bufo (common toad), 303 nucleotides. RefSeq lists it as uncharacterized. The record is from RefSeq and is a predicted model, not a curated record. NCBI's taxonomy places the organism in Eukaryota, Metazoa, Chordata, Amphibia, Anura, Bufonidae. The transcript is spliced from 3 exons.